This is a long non-coding RNA of Neoarius graeffei (lesser salmon catfish), 295 nucleotides long. RefSeq lists it as uncharacterized. The record is from RefSeq and is a predicted model, not a curated record. The transcript has 3 exons. NCBI's taxonomy places the organism in Eukaryota, Metazoa, Chordata, Actinopteri, Siluriformes, Ariidae.
AGGGUGGAGUCAGGGAAGGUAAGUGGCAGAAUCACUACACCUGAGAGCAAUUAACCUGUUUGUGUGUCUUCCCAGUGACCGCGCCCUAUAUGAGGAGGGAGAGCAAGAGCGAAAGGAGCUCCCCCAACCCGAAGACUGAUGACAUAUUGGUAUGCUGUGGUUGAGUUCCUGGCUGAGGGUUCAAUAUCUGUCGUCCCCAGAGAAUGGAUUGAGAGUGACAAAGAUGGUUUCUACAGCUACUGGCCUCGGGACAGACCCACAAGGAGAGCAGAGAAGAGGGAGCUGCCAGAUAAGC